This 460-nucleotide ribosomal RNA is filed under the name uncultured bacterium. RNAcentral's name for it is "bacterial SSU rRNA". It matches the Rfam family "Bacterial small subunit ribosomal RNA", at positions 33 to 507 of the family's 1533-position model. The record is from RNAcentral.
ACGCUGGCGGCGUGCUUAACACAUGCAAGUCGAACGAUGAAGCUAGAGCUUGCUCUGGUGAAUUAGUGGCAACGGGUGAGUAACACGUGAGUAACCUGCCCCGAACUCUGGGAUAACUGCUGGAAACGGUAGCUAAUACUGGAUACGACCUACGAAGGCAUCUUCUGUAGGUGGAAAGAAUUUCGGUUCGGGAUGGACUCGCGGCCUAUCAGCUUGUUGGUGAGGUAAUGGCUCACCAAGGCGACGACGGGUAGCCGGCCUGAGAGGGUGACCGGCCACACUGGGACUGAGACACGGCCCAGACUCCUACGGGAGGCAGCAGUGGGGAAUAUUGCACAAUGGGCGCAAGCCUGAUGCAGCAACGCCGCGUGAGGGAUGACGGCCUUCGGGUUGUAAACCUCUUUAGUAGGGAAGAAGCGAAAGUGACGGUACCUGCAGAAAAGCACCGGCUAACUACGUG